This 253-nucleotide ribosomal RNA is filed under the name uncultured bacterium. Its description in RNAcentral is "partial 16S ribosomal RNA". It matches the Rfam family "Bacterial small subunit ribosomal RNA", at positions 524 to 776 of the family's 1533-position model. The record is from RNAcentral.
UACGGGGGGAGCAAGCGUUGUUCGGAGUUACUGGGCGUAAAGGGCGCGUAGGCGGUUGAUUAAGUGAGAUGUGAAAUCCCUGGGCUUAACCUAGGAACUGCAUCUCAUACUGGUCAGCUAGAGUAUUGUAGAGGGUAGUGGAAUUUCCGGUGUAGCGGUGAAAUGCGUAGAGAUCGGAAGGAACACCAGUGGCGAAGGCGGCUACCUGGACAAAUACUGACGCUGAGGCGCGAAAGCGUGGGGAGCAAACAGG